UGGGGAAUUUUGGACAAUGGGCGCAAGCCUGAUCCAGCCAUGCCGCGUGCGGGAAGAAGGCCUUCGGGUUGUAAACCGCUUUUGUCAGGGAAGAAAUCUUCUGAGUUAAUACCUCGGGAGGAUGACGGUACCUGAAGAAUAAGCACCGGCUAACUACGUGCCAGCAGCCGCGGUAAUACGUAGGGUGCAAGCGUUAAUCGGAAUUACUGGGCGUAAAGCGUGCGCAGGCGGUUUUGUAAGACAGAGGUGAAAUCCCCGGGCUCAACCUGGGAACUGCCUUUGUGACUGCAAGGCUUGAGUGCGGCAGAGGGGGGAUGGAAUUCCGCGUGUAGCAGUGAAAAUGCGUAGAUAUGCGGAGGAAACACCGAUGGCGAAGGCAAUCCCCUGGGCCUGCACUGACGCUCAUGCACGAAAAGCGUGGGGAGCAAAACAGGAUUAGAUACCCCUGGUAGUCCACGCCCUAAAACGAUGUCAACUGGUUGUUGGGAAGGUUCCUUCUCAGU
This 503-nucleotide ribosomal RNA is filed under the name uncultured bacterium. Its description in RNAcentral is "partial 16S ribosomal RNA". It matches the Rfam family "Bacterial small subunit ribosomal RNA", at positions 355 to 844 of the family's 1533-position model. The record is from RNAcentral.